This is a long non-coding RNA of Eptesicus fuscus (big brown bat), 801 nucleotides long. RefSeq lists it as uncharacterized. NCBI's taxonomy places the organism in Eukaryota, Metazoa, Chordata, Mammalia, Chiroptera, Vespertilionidae. The record is from RefSeq and is a predicted model, not a curated record. The transcript has 3 exons.
GGCCAAUCCAAGGCUUUCUGAAACCCCGAGAUCCAGGCCAAGGUGUCACCACAUUGGACUCAUCAGUUAUAAGUUUCCACGGAGUAAGGUCAUUUUCCUGGGAUCUGACAGACCAAGGAAAACCUCCUGAUACUCUAACUCGGAGGGUCCUAGUAGAUACUCUCCUCAAACAUUUAAUAAUGAAAUAACGCAAUGUGCUCGUCACACACCUGCCGUGUAGCAGGAGCAUCCACAGGCUGGCAGGAGUCAGAGGAAAAUGCUUUUCCAUUUGAGCUUUUCGCGCAGUGGACGCUGAAGGGCUGAUGGUGAUUCAGGUCAUCUUGCUCUCCAUGCCAAGUUGUCAGCCACAGGUAAUUUUCCUAACAAAGAACAUUUAAUGGAGCCUCUGACUCAUGACUUAGUUUCCAGCUGCAGGCGUGUGGUGAGGACCCACGUGUAAGUGAGAGAGGGGCCCAGCUGCCUCGGGGCAGGAGGAAGUGCUGAGCUGGCCCUUCAGAAAAGGAGAGACAGCUCAGAAAGGAAACACCCACCCACUCUUGGCAAAGUCUUUGGGAGCCCAUUCUCUUUUCAGCGUAAAGACCCUCCUGCUGCUCGGUAAAACCCCGAGUAAAGGCCUGCUGGGCUUUUGGUCUACACAUGGCAAGAGGAGGCCUCACUGCUUCUUCCUGAGCUGGGCUUUCAUGAAGAGGGUUUCCACCUGGGACAGUGGCCUGGCUGCUGGAAGCCAUGUCUGAAAACUAGACUGAAGUGGAAUGAGCAGCUGAGACUAAACUCCUUGCCCGAUUUAGUAGAUUUUCUUUG